Molecule: ribosomal RNA, 307 nt
Filed under: uncultured eukaryote
Lineage: Eukaryota
Description: partial 18S ribosomal RNA
Rfam family: Eukaryotic small subunit ribosomal RNA
Source: RNAcentral
CCCUUAGACGUUCUGGGCCGCACGCGCGCCACACUGACGAAGGCAACGAGCUUUCCUUUACCGAAAGGUACGGGUAAUCUUUUGAAACUUCGUCGUGCUGGGGAUAGAUCCUUGCAAUUUUUGAUCUUAAACGAGGAAUGCCUAGUAAGCGCAAGUCAUCAACUUGCGUUGAUUACGUCCCUGCCCUUUGUACACACCGCCCGUCGCUACUACCGAUUGAAUGGUUUAGUGAGGCCUUCGGAUCCGCGACUCGUUUGUGGAGAAGUUGGACAAACUCAGUCAUUUAGAGGAAGUAAAAGUCGUAACA